CGAAACCUGCCCAGCAGAGCGACCCGCGAACGCGUGAAAACAAACCGGGACGGGCCGAGGAGGGGCAUUUGCCCCCGAUCACCCGUUUGCCGGACCGCCGACGAAGACCCCGGCGGUCCAAAAGGGCCGUCGGGAAGGAAUGUUGGGGUGUUCGCGCAAAACCAAAAACCGGCGCGACAGGCGCCAAGGAAAUCUAAAAAGGAAACGGAGGGUCGACCCGUACAAGGGCGCGUCCCUCGGAAUCCGAUACUCGAACGACUCCCGGCAACGGAUAUCUCGGCUCUUGCAUCGAUGAAGAACGUAGCGAAAUGCGAUACUUGGUGUGAAUUGCAGAAUCCCGUGAACCAUCGAGUCUUUGAACGCAAGUUGCGCCCGAGGCCACUAGGCCGAGGGCACGUCUGCCUGGGCGUCACACACAGCGUCGCACCCCAACAACCUGUUUGUCGGGGAGCGGAGAUUGGCCCCCCGAGCCCAUUCGGGCACGGUCGGCUCAAAUGUUGGUCCUCGGCGGCGAGCCUCGCUGUCAUCGGUGGUUGUUGUAACAUCUCCCCCGACGGCAGGACGCGAGGCCUCGUCGCACGCACGGACGCAUCGACCCUAGGAGCCGCUGCGCGCGGCA
Molecule: ribosomal RNA, 619 nt
Filed under: Consolida armeniaca
Lineage: Eukaryota; Viridiplantae; Streptophyta; Magnoliopsida; Ranunculales; Ranunculaceae
Description: eukaryotic LSU rRNA
Rfam family: 5.8S ribosomal RNA (bases 257-412)
Source: RNAcentral